UGCAGUCGAACGAACCCUUCGGGGUUAGUGGCAGACGGGUGAGUAACGCGUGGGAAAUUACCUUAUGGUAGGGAACAACAGUUGGAAACGACUGCUAAUACCCUAUGUGCCCUACGGGGGAAAGAUUUAUCGCCAUAAGAUGUGCCCGCGUUGGAUUAGCUAGUUGGUAAGGUAAUGGCUUACCAAGGCGACGAUCCAUAGCUGGUCUGAGAGGAUGAUCAGCCACACUGGGACUGAGACACGGCCCAGACUCCUACGGGAGGCAGCAGUGGGGAAUAUUGGACAAUGGGGGCAACCCUGAUCCAGCCAUGCCGCGUGUGUGAUGACGGCCUUAGGGUUGUAAAGCACUUUCAGCAGUGAAGAUAAUGACAUUAACUGCAGAAGAAGCCCCGGCUAACUUCGUGCCAGCAGCCGCGGUAAUACGAAGGGGGCUAGCGUUGUUCGGAAUCACUGGGCGUAAAGCGUACGUAGGCGGACUGAUAAGUUAGGGGUGAAAUCCCAAGGCUCAACCUUGGAACUGCCUUUAAUACUGUUAGUCUUGAGAUCGAGAGAGGUGAGUGGAACUCCGAGUGUAGAGGUGAAAUUCAUA
This 589-nucleotide ribosomal RNA is filed under the name bacterium W13S41. RNAcentral's name for it is "bacterial SSU rRNA". It matches the Rfam family "Bacterial small subunit ribosomal RNA", at positions 56 to 692 of the family's 1533-position model. The record is from RNAcentral.